GCGGCCGCGGGAAUUCGAUUAGAGUUUGAUCAUGGCUCAGAUUGAACGCUGGCGGCAGGCCUAACACAUGCAAGUCGAGCGGCAACGGGGGGAAGCUGCUUCCCCGCCGGCGAGCGGCGGACGGGUGAGUAAUGUCUGGGGAUCUGCCCGAUGGAGGGGGAUAACCACUGGAAACGGUGGCUAAUACCGCAUAACCUCUUUGGAGUAAAGUGGGGGACCUUCGGGCCUCACGCCAUCGGAUGAACCCAGAUGGGAUUAGCUAGUAGGUGGGGUAAUGGCUCACCUAGGCGACGAUCCCUAGCUGGUCUGAGAGGAUGACCAGCCACACUGGGACUGAGACACGGCCCAGACUCCUACGGGAGGCAGCAGUGGGGAAUAUUGCACAAUGGGCGCAAGCCUGAUGCAGCCAUGCCGCGUGUAUGAAGAAGGCCUUCGGGUUGUAAAGUACUUUCAGCGGGGAGGAAGGCAACAGCGUAAAUAGCGCUGUUGAUUGACGUUACCCGCAGAAGAAGCACCGGCUAACUCCGUGCCAGCAGCCGCGGUAAUACGAAUCACUAGUGAAUUCGCGGCCGCCUGCAGGUCGACAUAUGGGAGAGCUCC
This 600-nucleotide ribosomal RNA is filed under the name uncultured Gammaproteobacteria bacterium. Its description in RNAcentral is "partial 16S ribosomal RNA". It matches the Rfam family "Bacterial small subunit ribosomal RNA", at positions 1 to 595 of the family's 1533-position model. Lineage: Bacteria; Pseudomonadati; Pseudomonadota; Gammaproteobacteria. The record is from RNAcentral.